GAUGAACGCUGGCGGCGUGCCUAAUACAUGCAAGUCGAGCGAACGGACGAGAAGCUUGCUUCUCUGAUGUUAGCGGCGGACGGGUGAGUAACACGUGGAUAACCUACCUAUAAGACUGGGAUAACUUCGGGAAACCGGAGCUAAUACCGGAUAAUAUUUUGAACCGCAUGGUUCAAAAGUGAAAGACGGUCUUGCUGUCACUUAUAGAUGGAUCCGCGCUGCAUUAGCUAGUUGGUAAGGUAACGGCUUACCAAGGCAACGAUGCAUAGCCGACCUGAGAGGGUGAUCGGCCACACUGGAACUGAGACACGGUCCAGACUCCUACGGGAGGCAGCAGUAGGGAAUCUUCCGCAAUGGGCGAAAGCCUGACGGAGCAACGCCGCGUGAGUGAUGAGGGUCUUCGGAUCGUAAAACUCUGUUAUUAGGGAAGAACAUAUGUGUAAGUAACUGUACACAUCUUGACGGUACCUAAUCAGAAAGCCACGGCUAACUACGUG
RNAcentral lists this ribosomal RNA (497 nucleotides) under uncultured bacterium. Its description in RNAcentral is "partial 16S ribosomal RNA". It matches the Rfam family "Bacterial small subunit ribosomal RNA", at positions 28 to 507 of the family's 1533-position model. The record is from RNAcentral.